RNAcentral lists this ribosomal RNA (404 nucleotides) under uncultured bacterium. RNAcentral's name for it is "partial 16S ribosomal RNA". It matches the Rfam family "Bacterial small subunit ribosomal RNA", at positions 28 to 526 of the family's 1533-position model. The record is from RNAcentral.
GACGAACGCUGGCGGCGUGCUUAACACAUGCAAGUCGAGCGGAGCGGCGAACGGGUGAAUGACGCAUGAGUAACUGGCCCCCUCUCUGGGAUAACAGUUGGAAACGGCUGCUAAUACCGGAUAGUGGGGGAUGUCUCUGGGCCUAUCGGCUUGUUGGGUGGGUAGUGGCAUACCACGGCGAGGACGGGUAGCCGGCCUGGGAGGUGGACCGGCCACCUUGGUCUACGGGAGGGACCAAUGGCCAACGGGGGGCAGCAGUGGGGAAUAUUGCACAGGGGGGGAACCCCUGAGGCAGCAACGCGCGGGCGGGAUGACGGCUUUCGGGUUGUAAACCGCUUUCAGCCAUGACGCGGUAGUGGCAGAAGAAGCACCGGCUAACUACGUGCCAGCAGCCGCGGUAAUAC